CUAGUCAAUAACCCUGCUGCUUUUAACUGUAAAACCUGAUGGGAGCAGCUCGAAUGCAUUUUUUUAAAUUUAAAUUUUAAAUUUAAACAGAUUAAACUGAUCAGCAGAUCAACCUGUUGCCCCUCCAUUUGUGGCUAAUGGAAAUCUUUUGCUGUAGGUUACUAAUGUGCUCACAGCCUGAAGUACAGGCAGCUGGGAAGGCUGCAAAGUAGAUUGGCAAGAUGAUCUGGAGAAUGAAAUAUAAGAUACUCACAAACACUCCGCAGUCACCUGGAAAAUAAGUGGGCGGAGGAGGAUCUAAUACAAUUUGUGAGAAGGCAUGAAGAGGAAACUUGGUGGGUGCACUGAGAAGAAAGAAAGCCCUUUCAAAACGGCUGUCCUUUCUGUGACCUCACAGAAUGAGUUGCAGCAGCUCAGCAGGGAUAUUGACUCCAUCCUGGGAAAGCCAUGAAAUAUAAUCAG
Molecule: long non-coding RNA, 462 nt
Organism: Rhineura floridana
Lineage: Eukaryota; Metazoa; Chordata; Lepidosauria; Squamata; Rhineuridae
Exons: 3
Source: RefSeq, a predicted model, not a curated record